RNAcentral lists this ribosomal RNA (741 nucleotides) under uncultured Synergistota bacterium. RNAcentral's name for it is "bacterial SSU rRNA". It matches the Rfam family "Bacterial small subunit ribosomal RNA", at positions 81 to 844 of the family's 1533-position model. The record is from RNAcentral. Lineage: Bacteria; Thermotogati; Synergistota.
UUGAGCAUACUUAAGUGGCGGACGGGUGAGUAACGCGUGAGGAUCUGUCCUAUACAGGGGGACAACAGAUGGAAACGUCUGCUAAUACCGCAUAAGCCUAAGGGUAAAAGGAGAGAUUCGGUAUAGGAGGAACUCGCGUCCUAUCAGCUAGUAGGUGAGGUAACGGCUCACCUAGGCGAAGACGGGUAGCCGGCCUGAGAGGGCGAACGGCCACACUGGAACUGAGAUACGGUCCAGACUCCUACGGGAGGCAGCAGUGGGGAAUAUUGGGCAAUGGGGGAAACCCUGACCCAGCGACGUCGCGUGAGUGAAGAAAUCCCUCGGGAUGUAAAGCUCUGUUGUACGGGAAGAGAAGCAGACGGUACCGUACGAGGAAGCCCCGGCAAACUACGUGCCAGCAGCCGCGGUAAUACGUAGGGGGCAAGCGUUGUCCGGAAUUACUGGGCGUAAAGCGCACGCAGGCGGCCCAUCAAGUCGGUUGUAAAAGGCAGUGGCUCAACUACUGUAAGACGGCCGAUACUGAUGAGCUAGAGUAUGUGAGAGGGAAGCGGAAUUCCCGGUGUAGCGGUGAAAUGCGUAGAUAUUCGGGGAGGGAAACAACCCAAAGUUGGCCGAAAGGCGGCUUCCUGGCACAAGACUGACGCUCAUGUGCGAAAGCUAGGGUAGCGAACGGGAUUAGAUACCCCGGUAGUCCUAGCCGUAAACGAUGGAUACUGGGUGUGGGUGCCGCAGGGCAUCUGU